This 252-nucleotide ribosomal RNA is filed under the name uncultured bacterium. RNAcentral's name for it is "partial 16S ribosomal RNA". It matches the Rfam family "Bacterial small subunit ribosomal RNA", at positions 524 to 776 of the family's 1533-position model. The record is from RNAcentral.
UACGGAGGAUGCGAGCGUUAUCCGGAUUUAUUGGGUUUAAAGGGUGCGUAGGCGGACUGUCAAGUCAGCGGUAAAAUUGAGAGGCUCAACCUCUUCCCGCCGUUGAAACUGGUGGUCUUGAGUGGAUGAGAAGUACGCGGAAUGCGUGGUGUAGCGGUGAAAUGCGUAGAUAUCACGCAGAACUCCGAUUGCGAAGGCAGCGUACCGGCAUCCAACUGACGCUGAGGCACGAAAGCGUGGGGAUCGAACAGG